Cyprinus carpio (common carp) is the source of this 994-nucleotide long non-coding RNA. Lineage: Eukaryota; Metazoa; Chordata; Actinopteri; Cypriniformes; Cyprinidae. The record is from Ensembl.
AAGAAGUUGAAUUAAAUAGAAAAAUGCAAGUAAGUACAUACAGUGUGUACACAAUGUGAUCAACCAGUCAAACAUAAACUACAGAUGACUUGUCUUUAUGAAUCUAUAUGUGAAAUUAUGAUUGUUUAUAAAUAACACAAAAUGCAUACAUUAAAAUAAUCUCUUAUUUAUGAAAAAAUACUCUACGUCAUUAUUUCUUAAGCACUAGUGUGUGUGUGUGUGUGUGUGUGUGUGUGUGUGUGUGUGUGUCAGGUGGAUCAUGAGAAACUCCUGGAGUGCAGAAUAAGACUGAGAGAGAGUCACGAGAGACUGAUCGAGAAUGAACUGAUGAAGAUGGAGAGAGAAUUACAGGAGGAGCAGAUGGGUGGUGUGGAGGGCGAGAUGUCGUACCUGCGCAGAGAGAGACACAUCCUGGUUCUUCAGAUCGAGGCGCUGCGCAGGGAGAACCAGCAGGCGUCUGCAGACCUGGAGACCCAGAGCAGACAACACCAGCAGCAGAUCAGCAACCUCAGAGAAGAGAGUCUGCAGGUGUUCAGGGCGUUUCGUGAGGUUCUGGAGGAACAGAGGUGCAUGUCUGAGAGAAGGUACAGGAAUCUGCUGUUAGACGCCAUUCAGGAUGCUGUGCAUCUGUCCUCACAAAACCUGCAGCUCCAGGACGAAAUCCAGCAGCUCCGGAAAGGUCUCAGUCCCACUCCAUGACGCAUCUGAUCCAACACAGAUUAAUUCAUCUGUGGGUCUUAAAAAGUCUUCAUUUGCCCUUCCAUAAAUUAAGACCUAAAAACAUCUUUAAUCAAAGCAGAAACUCUAUAGAAAUGUGUAUAGUCAUGGCAUUAAAUGUUGCAUGCAGUGCAAAAUGAAUAUCUUCCACACUGUUUUUUUUUUCUUCCCCCAAUAUCUAAACAUCUUUAAUCACAAUACAUUUACAAAUUGAACAGUUUGAUGUCUUGUUUUCUGAGAAAUUGAGCAAAAUAAAGUGAGUUUAUGCUUUAAAACA